RNAcentral lists this ribosomal RNA (947 nucleotides) under Escherichia coli. Its description in RNAcentral is "partial 23S ribosomal RNA". It matches the Rfam family "Bacterial large subunit ribosomal RNA", at positions 419 to 1366 of the family's 2925-position model. The record is from RNAcentral. Lineage: Bacteria; Pseudomonadati; Pseudomonadota; Gammaproteobacteria; Enterobacterales; Enterobacteriaceae.
GGGACACGUGGUAUCCUGUCUGAAUAUGGGGGGACCAUCCUCCAAGGCUAAAUACUCCUGACUGACCGAUAGUGAACCAGUACCGUGAGGGAAAGGCGAAAAGAACCCCGGCGAGGGGAGUGAAAAAGAACCUGAAACCGUGUACGUACAAGCAGUGGGAGCCUCUUAAUGGGGUGACUGCGUACCUUUUGUAUAAUGGGUCAGCGACUUAUAUUCUGUAGCAAGGUUAACCGAAUAGGGGAGCCGAAGGGAAACCGAGUCUUAACUGGGCGUUAAGUUGCAGGGUAUAGACCCGAAACCCGGUGAUCUAGCCAUGGGCAGGUUGAAGGUUGGGUAACACUAACUGGAGGACCGAACCGACUAAUGUUGAAAAAUUAGCGGAUGACUUGUGGCUGGGGGUGAAAGGCCAAUCAAACCGGGAGAUAGCUGGUUCUCCCCGAAAGCUAUUUAGGUAGCGCCUCGUGAAUUCAUCUCCGGGGGUAGAGCACUGUUUCGGCAAGGGGGUCAUCCCGACUUACCAACCCGAUGCAAACUGCGAAUACCGGAGAAUGUUAUCACGGGAGACACACGGCGGGUGCUAACGUCCGUCGUGAAGAGGGAAACAACCCAGACCGCCAGCUAAGGUCCCAAAGUCAUGGUUAAGUGGGAAACGAUGUGGGAAGGCCCAGACAGCCAGGAUGUUGGCUUAGAAGCAGCCAUCAUUUAAAGAAAGCGUAAUAGCUCACUGGUCGAGUCGGCCUGCGCGGAAGAUGUAACGGGGCUAAACCAUGCACCGAAGCUGCGGCAGCGACGCUUAUGCGUUGUUGGGUAGGGGAGCGUUCUGUAAGCCUGUGAAGGUGUGCUGUGAGGCAUGCUGGAGGUAUCAGAAGUGCGAAUGCUGACAUAAGUAACGAUAAAGCGGGUGAAAAGCCCGCUCGCCGGAAGACCAAGGGUUCCUGUCCAACGUU